CCUAUUGGUAUCGAAGAUACGGGCUAAAGGGUUGAAACUCAACAUUGCUAUCUGUAGAGAGAAUAAUUUUUAGUUAAAUAUUUAUACUUAUAAAAUUAUUUAUUCUAGAGACUUUAAAAAUAAAUAAAGGCUCUCACUAUUUCUUUGAAUCUCUCACACUCCUCGGGUGGAGAAACAAAAACCUAUAUGUGAUCAAUUUCAAGUGGGUACUGCGAUCCCAUUAAUCUAUACACACCU
RNAcentral lists this long non-coding RNA (237 nucleotides) under Elaeis guineensis (African oil palm). Its description in RNAcentral is "long non-coding RNA (EGUI_LNC056519)". The record is from RNAcentral. Lineage: Eukaryota; Viridiplantae; Streptophyta; Magnoliopsida; Arecales; Arecaceae.